Molecule: ribosomal RNA, 406 nt
Filed under: uncultured bacterium
Lineage: Bacteria
Description: partial 16S ribosomal RNA
Rfam family: Bacterial small subunit ribosomal RNA
Source: RNAcentral
AUUGAACGCUGGCGGCAGGCCUAACACAUGCAAGUCGAACGAGUGGCGGACGGGUGAGUAAUGUCUGGGAAACUGCCUGAUGGAGGGGGAUAAAUACUGGAAACGGUAGCUAAUACCGCAUACCAUCAGAUGUGCCCAGAUGGGAUUAGCUUGUUGGUGGGGUAACGGCGAACCAAGGCGACGCUCCCUAGCUGGUCUGAGAGGAUGACGUGCCACACUGGAACUGAGACACGUUCAGUACUCCUACGGCAGGAAGCAGUGGGGAAUAUUGCACAAUGGGCGCAAGCCUGAUGCAGCCAUGCGGCGUGUAUGAAGCAGGCCUUCGGGUUGUAAAGUACUUUCAGCGGGGAGGCGUUACCCGCAGAAGAAGCACCGGCUAACUCCGUGCCAGCAGCCGCGGUAAUAC